AUGAACGCUGGCGGCGUGCCUAAUACAUGCAAGUCGAGCGAACAGAUAAGGAGCUUGCUCCUUUGACGUUAGCGGCGGACGGGUGAGUAACACGUGGGUAACCUACCUAUAAGACUGGGAUAACUUCGGGAAACCGGAGCUAAUACCGGAUAAUAUUUCGAACCGCAUGGUUCGAUAGUGAAAGAUGGUUUUGCUAUCACUUAUAGAUGGACCCGCGCCGUAUUAGCUAGUUGGUAAGGUAACGGCUUACCAAGGCGACGAUACGUAGCCGACCUGAGAGGGUGAUCGGCCACACUGGAACUGAGACACGGUCCAGACCCCUACGGGAGGCAGCAGUAGGGAAUCUUCCGCAAUGGGCGAAAGCCUGACGGAGCAACGCCGCGUGAGUGAUGAAGGUCUUCGGAUCGUAAAACUCUGUUAUUAGGGAAGAACAUACGUGUAAGUAACUGUGCACGUCUUGACGGUACCUAAUCAGAAAGCCACGGCUAACUACGUG
This 496-nucleotide ribosomal RNA is filed under the name uncultured bacterium. RNAcentral describes it as "partial 16S ribosomal RNA". It matches the Rfam family "Bacterial small subunit ribosomal RNA", at positions 29 to 507 of the family's 1533-position model. The record is from RNAcentral.